This 301-nucleotide ribosomal RNA is filed under the name uncultured bacterium. Its description in RNAcentral is "partial 16S ribosomal RNA". It matches the Rfam family "Bacterial small subunit ribosomal RNA", at positions 509 to 807 of the family's 1533-position model. The record is from RNAcentral.
CAGUAGCCGCGGUAAUACGUAGGGUGCAAGCGUUAAUCGGAAUUACUGGGCGUAAAGCGUGCGCAGGCGGUUAUAUAAGUCAGAUGUGAAAUCCCCGGGCUCAACCUGGGAACUGCAUUUGAGACUGUAUGGCUAGAGUGUGUCAGAGGGGGGUAGAAUUCCACGUGUAGCAGUGAAAUGCGUAGAUAUGUGGAGGAAUACCGAUGGCGAAGGCAGCCCCCUGGGAUAACACUGACGCUCAUGCACGAAAGCGUGGGGAGCAAACAGGAUUAGAUACCCCCGUAGUCCCUGUCUCUUAUAC